RNAcentral lists this ribosomal RNA (547 nucleotides) under uncultured bacterium. Its description in RNAcentral is "bacterial SSU rRNA". It matches the Rfam family "Bacterial small subunit ribosomal RNA", at positions 153 to 677 of the family's 1533-position model. The record is from RNAcentral.
GAAAGCGAAGCUAAUACCUGAUAAGACUACGAUCUCCUAGGAGAUAGUAGGAAAAGAUGGCCUCUGUUUCAUGCUAUUGUUUAAGGAUGAGCCCUUGCACUAUUAGCUUGUUGGUGGGGUAAUGGCCCACCAAGGCUACGAUGGUUAGCUGGUCUGAGAGGAUGACCAGCCACACUGGAACUGAGACACGGUCCAGACUCCUACGGGAGGCAGCAGUGAGGAAUAUUGCGCAAUGGGGGAAACCCUGACGCAGUGACGCCGCGUGAGCGAUGAAGGCUUUCGAGUCGUAAAGCUCUGUUAGGUGGAAAGAAACAUUCCAGUGCCAAUACCACUGGAACUUGACGGUACCACCAGAGGAAGCACCGGCUAACUCCGUGCCAGCAGCCGCGGUAAUACGGAGGGUGCAAGCGUUGUUCGGAAUUACUGGGCGUAAAGGGCGUGUAGGCGGCUAGGCAAGUCAGAUGUGAAAUCCCUUGGCUCAACCAAGGAAGUGCAUUUGAAACUGCUUAACUAGAGUACAGGAGGGGAAAGUGGAAUUCCCAGUGUA